Gallus gallus (chicken) is the source of this 830-nucleotide long non-coding RNA. RefSeq lists it as uncharacterized. The transcript is spliced from 2 exons. NCBI's taxonomy places the organism in Eukaryota, Metazoa, Chordata, Aves, Galliformes, Phasianidae. The record is from RefSeq and is a predicted model, not a curated record.
GUGGGCAUAACAGCAGAGCUGAUAACAGCGAGGCCAGAAGCAAAGUGCUUUUUCCCUGAGAAGCGUGAGGGGUCGGGCUCUGCCUGCACAGAGCCUCUGGAAGGGGGAAGGAUCUCCACAUCAACAGAACAAAACAGAACUAAACAGAGCAUGCAGGCACAGGAGAGAAAGCACAAACACCAUUCAUCACUUGCACUAACUGAAGUAAGAGUAAAUGAAGCAAGAAAGGACCUCUGGCUAAAGCACUGAAGUGGGACUUGAGAGAUCUGGGGAGGUCAUGGGCAGUAACAUUUUAAUCUCUCACGGUACGAAUUAUCACCACAUCAAUAAACCUUGUGAAAAGGGGUCAGCGUACCUCAGAGUGAGCAUAGGAGUGAGGUUUCUCUAUUCAUUCCCCAGCAACACCCUGCCAUUUUACCAAAUUCAAUGCUCUCGUUUCUGGACCCUUCAGUACAACAGCGCCCUCCUGUACUACAUCCUGCACCGGGAACAAAGACUUCACAAUGUACCUUGCCAGGGGCAGGAUCUGAAUCUCAUCUUCUCAGCUCAUUGACUUUUGAAAGAUGAUUAUGCACUAAAAGAAUUUGGCAGAAUGCUAAAGGAACUUAUCUUCAUAAAUUCCUUUGAAUUGCUUGGCAGCUGCAUUAAAAACUGAAUGACAUUUAGGACAGCUCUCUUGAUUCAUCUGCAGAUGUGACCCAGAAGCAAAGCUCCCACAAACAGAUUAAUUCAGGACAGGAUGGAACAUUUGGAAGGAUUUUUAAUAACCCUGGGCCUUAUAUAAGCCACACUGUUUUGAUUUAAUGGUAAAUAAAGAACGUAUGUCUUUC